This 2557-nucleotide long non-coding RNA is filed under the name Olea europaea subsp. europaea. Lineage: Eukaryota; Viridiplantae; Streptophyta; Magnoliopsida; Lamiales; Oleaceae. The record is from RNAcentral.
AUAGCCUCUCAAUCACGAAUGUGCAAGAAGAAUAAGGGAAGGUUUCAACAAUCACUAUUAGGAAGCACACUAAGGUAGAAAAAAACUUAGUUACUCGAUAUACAUCUGGAAUUCAAGUAAGAAAAGCAACUCUAUGGUCAAGAAGUAAUAAAUUCUAACCAUUAGUAAAUCGUACCACAAUAAUCUUCUGUCAAAUUACAAUGCAUUUAUAAGCUAAUGUCAACAACUACACCAGAAUAAGAAGCCAGAAAACUGAUAAGCUCAAUAACAUUGAGAGGAAAUGUCAAUAUUAAAUGCCACACUGUGCACCAUGUAAAAGAUUUCUCAAUUAAACUGGUGCAAAGGUUAAAAGAUACGAAGAGUUCACACUUGGUAAAGCAAUGGAUAACUUUAUUGCAAUGAACGCACAAUUCUAUCCUUAUUCAAGAAAAUCAAAACACAGAAGGAGGUCUCACAACCCAGGAAGCUAAUUGAAACAAAUCUUAACACACUGCCAUGAAUAGAAUAGACUUGCAAUUCAUUUGUGUCCAUUGUUUCAAAAAGUUGUUUGAUACUUAUGACUUGAGGCACCCCUCACGUCAGGCUGUCAUGAUAAGCCUUAAAGCAUGGGCCUUUAGUGCCAUUUUUUACACUUACGCAUCAAUUCCAGAGAGUUAUGCCUCGCAGGCAAUAAGGUGUGCACGCUUUUGUCUUGCCUUUCAUGGUUAUAUCAACUUUUUUGGCUAUUUUUUACAGGCUAGAACGUUUUACUAGUUUUUGUUUCUGUGCUGUUUGGGAGAAAUUAUAAUGGGAUUAUAAUGAAAAUGUUACGAGUUUUUGUUUCUGUGCUUUUUGGGAGAAAUUAUAAUGGGAUAAUGAAAAUGAGUAGCAGGUCCACAAAAUGUGUAGAUAAUAAGUAGCUAGUAGUUAUGGAUGCAUGGUUAAAAUUAAUGUUUGACAUUGACAACAAAUUAUAAGGAUAUUAUAAUUUCUCCUAAACAAGCAAUUUCUCGUUUCUGCCUUUCAAGGGGAAGACACUAUUCCUAGUGAUAAGGGGUAACAAAGUAUCAGAAGAAAUUGAUGGUUGUGAUGAGGAUGGUAGGGAAUCAAAUAUGUUGAAGAUUCACUUAAAAAUCUGCAAUAAUCCGGAUUCCAAAAUUGUUACAUGAUUGAUAAUUUGAAACUUACUACUUUCUACUUUAUACUGAUUUCCUUAUGUUUGAUUGCAAGCUACACUUCUAAUUUUGUCAAUUUGUUUAUUAUGAAGUUUCAAGAUGAUUUAUGGUUUAUUAUAAACGUAUUUUCAUAUUUUUAUUUAUACUGAAUUAUUACAUUGGCUUGCAUGGAUUACAACUCAAAACACUCCGAGACUAAGGCCUUGCCUCACAGAUGUAAAAGACAUCAGUUAUUUCAUUGCCCACUUGUCAAAACUGAACCUUGACAUUAUCCAUACCUAAAUAUGCCAACACUUAUAUUAUACACACUUGUCAAACUUGAAACUCAUCAUAAACCAAACCUAGAUACUGACAAUCAUGGCAUUACCCAAUUUCCAAAAUCAAACACUUUCUAAAUGUAAAAGUUCCCAAUUGCAGCCAUAGAGAAGCAGCAUUUAAGACAACUAGUAUGCUAAAAAUUUCAACAUUAUCAAUUGCAAACAAGACGAGUCAAAAGCUAAGAACCGGACCUCCAAAGAAAAAAUGCACGUGUGAAUUUCACCCUCUAAAGCAAAGUGAUACAUCGUCAAAGGCGUCACGAAUAUCAGGAUUCACAUUUUGUAUUUUGCAAACUUGUUAUAGCUAAAUAAAUUUAUUACAAAUCGGUUUCAAAUCAAGUUGUACCACCAAGAACAUAACAAAAAUAUCAAAUCUCUAAACCCCAAAAUCAACUUCAACCUUUAAAAAUCAACAGAAAUAUGCAGACGCACACAAAUCAACACAAGGUUUAUCCAGAAAUAUAUACAGACAAACGCAUAACUGGGGAAGAAUUGGUUUUUAUUAAAAAACUCAGUCAAAACACCAAAUUUUUCAAUUAUAAAAAAUAAAAAAGACAAACAAUUAACCUACAGGUCCAGAAAUUCAAAACCCCAAAAUCAUACAACUUUAUAAUCAACAAUCUAAAAAAAAAAAAACAAGAAGAAUAAAAGCUGAAAAGUACAAAAUUUAGAACGAAACCCUUCAAAAGUUCUUGAUGAAUCAACAAUAAAAUUAAAUUUCCUAAAUAAAAAGCUUACCGAAUCGACCCGAGCCCAGAUCUGCAAUGAUCUCGCCCACGACAAUCCCAACUCAAGGAAACAAGUGAAUAUUUAUAUUUACAUAAAUACGAAAAGAAAAACAGGGAUUAGGGUUUCUUUAUUUCCAUGAAUUGGGUUUUGUUCAGAGAAAUUUUAUGGGUUCUGUCAGGUGGCCAUGAAUUUUGAAGAGAAGAAGAUGAACAGCACGUAUAGAUAUGGAAAGAGGAAGGAAGACGUGAUGACUUUUUUCUUUAAUACUUGAAAAUCAUCGGGAUGAUAGGCUGCUGCUGUGUUUUUUUGUUUAGGAUGGUCUACACGGCUAUGACCUUUCCCAAGCCAAGCCCUUUG